UGAGGAAUAUUGGACAAUGGGCGCAAGCCUGAUCCAGCCAUGCCGCGUGAGUGAAGAAGGCUUUAGAGUUGUAAAGCUCUUUCAGCGGGGAAGAUGAUGACGGUACCCGCAGAAGAAGCCCCGGCUAACUCCGUGCCAGCAGCCGCGGUAAUACGGAGGGGGCUAGCGUUGCUCGGAAUUACUGGGCGUAAAGGGCGUGUAGGCGGAGUGUCAAGUCAGGCGUGAAAGCCCCGGGCUCAACCCGGGAACUGCGUUUGAGACUGAUAUUCUAGAGUCCGGGAGAGGGUGGUGGAAUUCCCAGUGUAGAGGUGAAAUUCGUAGAUAUUGGGAAGAACACCAGUGGCGAAGGCGGCCACCUGGACCGGUACUGACGCUGAGGCGCGAAAGCGUGGGGAGCAAACAGGAUUAGAUACCCCCGUAGUCC
RNAcentral lists this ribosomal RNA (424 nucleotides) under uncultured prokaryote. RNAcentral describes it as "bacterial SSU rRNA". It matches the Rfam family "Bacterial small subunit ribosomal RNA", at positions 355 to 796 of the family's 1533-position model. The record is from RNAcentral.